This 448-nucleotide ribosomal RNA is filed under the name uncultured bacterium. Its description in RNAcentral is "partial 16S ribosomal RNA". It matches the Rfam family "Bacterial small subunit ribosomal RNA", at positions 29 to 523 of the family's 1533-position model. The record is from RNAcentral.
AAUGAACGCUGGCGGCAGGCCUAACACAUGCAAGUCGAACGGAUCCUUCGGGAUUAGUGGCGGACGGGUGAGUAACGCGUGGGAACAUACCCUUUGGUACGGAAUAGCCUCGGGAAACUGGGAGUAAUACCGUAUCUGGUCGAGAGACGAAAGAUUUAUCGCCAAAGGAUUGGCCCGCGUUGGACUAGGGCGUUGGUGGGGUAAUGCCCUACCAAGCCGACGAUCCAUAGCUGGUUUGAGAGGAGGAUCAGCCACACUGGGACUGAGACACGGCCCAAGCUCCUACGGGAGGCAGUAGUGGGGAAUCUUAGACAAUGGGGGGAACCCUAAUCUAGCCAUGCCGCGUGAUCAAUGAAGGCCUUAGGGUUGUAAGAUCUUUCAGGUGGGAAGAUAAUGACUGUACCACCAGAAGAAGCCCCGGCUAACUCCGUGCCAGCAGCCGCCGUAA